GCCAAGGAUGUUUUCAUUAAUCAAGAACGAAAGUUAGGGGAUCGAAGACGAUCAGAUACCGUCGUAGUCUUAACCAUAAACGAUGCCGACCAGCGAUUAGGAGACGUUGAAUACAAAACACCACCAUCGGUGCGGUCGUCCUUGGCGUCUCGGUCCUUCACGGGGCCGGGGCGCGGGGGUGGCUUAGCCCGGUGGCACCGGUGAAUGACUCCCCUAGCAGCUUGUGAGA
RNAcentral lists this ribosomal RNA (229 nucleotides) under Acanthamoeba sp. 07027/T4. RNAcentral describes it as "partial 18S ribosomal RNA". It matches the Rfam family "Eukaryotic small subunit ribosomal RNA", at positions 957 to 1095 of the family's 1831-position model. Lineage: Eukaryota; Discosea; Longamoebia; Acanthamoebidae. RNAcentral also lists the same sequence under 1 other name. The record is from RNAcentral.